CCUACGGGUGGCAGCAGUGAGGAAUAUUGGUCAAUGGGCGCGAGCCUGAACCAGCCAAGUAGCGUGAAGGAUGACUGCCCUACGGGUUGUAAACUUCUUUUAUAAAGGAAUAAAGUGAGGCACGUCUGCCCUUUUGUAUGUACUUUAUGAACAAGGAUCGGCUAACUCCGUGCCAGCAGCAGCGGUAAUACGGAGGAUCUGAGCGUUAUCCGGAUUUAUUGGGUUGAAAGGGUGCGUAGGCUGUGAGGUAAGUCAGCGGUGAAAUGCCCCCGCUCAACGGGGUGAAGUGCCAUUGAUACUGCAUUGCUGGAAUGCGGAUGCGGUGGGAGGAAUGUGUGGUGUAGCGGUGAAAUGCAUAGAUAUCACACAGAACACCGGUUGCGAAGGCAUCUCACGAAUCCGCGAUUGACGCUGAUGCACGAAAGCGUGGGUAUCAAACAGGAUUAGAUACCCGGGUAGUC
RNAcentral lists this ribosomal RNA (461 nucleotides) under uncultured bacterium. RNAcentral describes it as "partial 16S ribosomal RNA". It matches the Rfam family "Bacterial small subunit ribosomal RNA", at positions 338 to 795 of the family's 1533-position model. The record is from RNAcentral.